Molecule: long non-coding RNA, 607 nt
Organism: Syngnathus acus (greater pipefish)
Lineage: Eukaryota; Metazoa; Chordata; Actinopteri; Syngnathiformes; Syngnathidae
Exons: 2
Source: RefSeq, a predicted model, not a curated record
ACUAUGCUGUAUAUCAAUAUGUACAUAAAUACUCGUUGUUUUGCCCUUGUCUUUCUUUUGCGGUUAUCCAGCUCAAGUCCCUGCAGGCCAAAGGGAAAAAAAAAGGAAAAGCAAAUCAACCUUGUGGCCUGCUUUGAUUCCACCACAAUGGCUUGUUCUCCUCUCUGCGCUCGCUUGGAGGGCGUGAACAGCCGCCACCUUCUCAGAGAAUCAAUUCAAGUGGGAGCAGUUGACCCAGUGGCGCGCGAUAAGCCCCGUCGUCUGACAUCACUGGGCCUCGCAGUCCUGCUGAUGAGGCCCGUGGAGGAUGCAAAGACUUUUCAAGCUUUUGGACCACACACAUGUUGCACCCCAUUGUGACGUGUGACACAGUGCUGGACCGCACAAGAGCGACCCGAUGACCGGAACUUAUGGAAGAACCUGUCGAGGUCUUUGUCUGUGGCAGAGGGAGGACCCCACCCUCCCUUGCGGGGUUGCGGUAUGGAACACUCUUCUUCUUCCACUUCAGCGUCACACGCAAUCUGACAUCCGUGUCAGGAUGACAGUUUUCUCAUCUUCUCUUUGUUCCACACACUUAAGAGAAGACCUGUUCUCAGGCAAAAAAAAA